This is a long non-coding RNA of Saccostrea cuccullata (small rock oyster), 266 nucleotides long. RefSeq lists it as uncharacterized. The record is from RefSeq and is a predicted model, not a curated record. The transcript has 4 exons. NCBI's taxonomy places the organism in Eukaryota, Metazoa, Mollusca, Bivalvia, Ostreida, Ostreidae.
UACAGGUGAAAAUCGAGAGAGAAAUUCAACAUGAAAAAAGAGGUACAGCUGUAGAGUACAUUUUGAACAGCCAUCUCCAGGAUAUACUCUGAAGACAGUGAUGUGCAAGUUCAAGGUUUGCCUGUUGUGAGUAUUGUAUAUGUAACUUUCAGCUGUAACAAAACAAAUUAUCUGAUGAAAGCUUCAACCACGAGAAUCUAGGAAAGGAUGUCAAGUCAAAAGAGAAGGUAUGUUGAUUACUGGUGAUGAUAUGUUAUUGAUGUAAA